This 86-nucleotide transfer RNA is filed under the name Bacilli bacterium. Its description in RNAcentral is "tRNA-Leu". It matches the Rfam family "tRNA". Rfam says of the family: Transfer RNA (tRNA) molecules are approximately 80 nucleotides in length. Their secondary structure includes four short double-helical elements and three loops (D, anti-codon, and T loops). Lineage: Bacteria; Bacillati; Bacillota; Bacilli. The record is from RNAcentral.
GCCAGUGUGGUGAAAUGGUAGACGCGAAGGACUCAAAAUCCUUUGGUAGCAAUACCGUGCGGGUUCGAGUCCCGCCACUGGCACCA